UACGUAGGGUGCGAGCGUUGUCCGGAAUUAUUGGGCGUAAAGAGCUCGUAGGCGGUCUGUCGCGUCGAAUGUGAAAACCCGGGGCUCAACUCCGGGCUUGCAUUCGAUACGGGCAGGCUAGAGUUCGGUAGGGGAGUCUGGAAUUCCUGGUGUAGCGGUGAAAUGCGCAGAUAUCAGGAGGAACACCGGUGGCGAAGGCGGGUCUCUGGGCCGAUACUGACGCUGAGGAGCGAAAGCGUGGGGAGCAAACAGG
This 253-nucleotide ribosomal RNA is filed under the name uncultured bacterium. RNAcentral describes it as "partial 16S ribosomal RNA". It matches the Rfam family "Bacterial small subunit ribosomal RNA", at positions 524 to 776 of the family's 1533-position model. The record is from RNAcentral.